Molecule: long non-coding RNA, 330 nt
Filed under: Setaria viridis
Lineage: Eukaryota; Viridiplantae; Streptophyta; Magnoliopsida; Poales; Poaceae
Description: long non-coding RNA (SVIR_LNC003567)
Source: RNAcentral
GGGGAUUCUAGGAAGGUCAAUAUCAGAUGGAACCGAUGGCAUUACCUGAUGAUCAUUUGAAACCAUCUUCAUGAGCUGAGAUACGUGGAACACUAGAUGAAUGGUACAGGAUGGAGGUAACUGGAGUUUGUAAGCCAUAGAGCCAACUCGAGCUAGUAUCUCAUAAGGACUAAAGAACUUGAAUGCAAGCUUCUGAUUUGCCCUUGGAGCUAGAGAGGACUGUACAUAAGGCUGAAGUUUGAGAAAUACCUUGUCAUCGACAUCAAACUUCCUUUCAGAAUGAUGUUUGUUAGCCUGUUUCUUCAUGCAAAGUUUAGAAUGAGCAAGGUG